RNAcentral lists this ribosomal RNA (161 nucleotides) under Lepidozamia hopei. RNAcentral describes it as "5.8S rRNA". It matches the Rfam family "5.8S ribosomal RNA". Rfam says of the family: 5.8S ribosomal RNA (5.8S rRNA) is a component of the large subunit of the eukaryotic ribosome. It is transcribed by RNA polymerase I as part of the 45S precursor that also contains 18S and 28S rRNA. The record is from RNAcentral. Lineage: Eukaryota; Viridiplantae; Streptophyta; Cycadopsida; Cycadales; Zamiaceae.
UCAUGACUCUCAACAACAGAUAUCUUAGCUCUCACCAUGAUGAAGAACAUAGUGAAAUAUGAUACUUAGUGUGAAUUACAGAAUCCUAUGAAUCAUUAAGUCUUUGAACGUAAGUUAUGUCCUAGGCCUCGGCCAAGGGCACGUCUACUUGGGCAUCGCAU